This 490-nucleotide ribosomal RNA is filed under the name uncultured bacterium. RNAcentral's name for it is "bacterial SSU rRNA". It matches the Rfam family "Bacterial small subunit ribosomal RNA", at positions 30 to 507 of the family's 1533-position model. The record is from RNAcentral.
AUUGAACGCUGGCGGCAGGCUUAACACAUGCAAGUCGAACGGUAACAUAAAGAAGCUUGCUUCUUUGAUGACGAGUGGCGGACGGGUGAGUAAUGCUUGGGAAUCUAGCUUAUGGAGGGGGAUAACCACGGGAAACUGUAGCUAAUACUGCGUAGAAUCGGGAGAUGAAAGUGUGGGACCUUCGGGCCACAUGCCAUAGGAUGAGCCCAAGUGGGAUUAGGUAGUUGGUGAGGUAAAGGCUCACCAAGCCGACGAUCUCUAGCUGGUCUGAGAGGAUGACCAGCCACACUGGGACUGAGACACGGCCCAGACUCCUACGGGAGGCAGCAGUGGGGAAUAUUGCGCAAUGGGGGCAACCCUGACGCAGCCAUGCCGCGUGAAUGAAGAAGGCCUUCGGGUUGUAAAGUUCUUUCGGUAGCGAGGAAGGCAUUUAGUUUAAUAGACUAGGUGAUUGACGUUAACUACAGAAGAAGCACCGGCUAACUCCGUG